UUGCAUAUCAAUAAGCGGAGGAAAAGAAACCAACAGGGAUUGCCCCAGUAACGGCGAGUGAAGCGGCAACAGCUCAAAUUUGAAAUCUGGCCCCUAGGGUCCGAGUUGUAAUUUGUAGAGGAUGCUUUUGGUGAGGUGCCGCCCGAGUUCCCUGGAACGGGACGCCGCAGAGGGUGAGAGCCCCGUCUGGCUGGCCACCGAGCCUCUGUAAAGCUCCUUCGACGAGUCGAGUAGUUUGGGAAUGCUGCUCAAAAUGGGAGGUAUAUGUCUUCUAAAGCUAAAUAUUGGCCAGAGACCGAUAGCGCACAAGUAGAGUGAUCGAAAGAUGAAAAGCACCUUGAAAAGAGGGUUAAACAGUACGUGAAAUUGUUGAAAGGGAAGCGCUUGUGACCAGACUUGGGCGCGGCGGAUCAUCCGGGGUUCUCCCCGGUGCACUUCGCCGUGUUCAGGCCAGCAUCAGUUCGGCGCGGGGGAAAAAGGCUUCGGGAACGUGGCUCCUCCGGGAGUGUUAUAGCCCGUUGCAUAAUACCCUGCGCUGGACUGAGGA
Molecule: ribosomal RNA, 547 nt
Filed under: Trichoderma sp. TKF 7
Lineage: Eukaryota; Fungi; Ascomycota; Sordariomycetes; Hypocreales; Hypocreaceae
Description: eukaryotic LSU rRNA
Rfam family: Eukaryotic large subunit ribosomal RNA
Source: RNAcentral